CAUGCAAGUCGAACGCGUUGGCCCAAUUGAUUGAUGGUGCUUGCACCUGAUUGAUUUUGGUCGCCAACGAGUGGCGGACGGGUGAGUAACACGUAGGUAACCUGCCCAGAAGCGGGGGACAACAUUUGGAAACAGAUGCUAAUACCGCAUAACAGCGUUGUUCGCAUGAACAACGCUUAAAAGAUGGCUUCUCGCUAUCACUUCUGGAUGGACCUGCGGUGCAUUAGCUUGUUGGUGGGGUAACGGCCUACCAAGGCGAUGAUGCAUAGCCGAGUUGAGAGACUGAUCGGCCACAAUGGGACUGAGACACGGCCCAUACUCCUACGGGAGGCAGCAGUAGGGAAUCUUCCACAAUGGGCGCAAGCCUGAUGGAGCAACACCGCGUGAGUGAAGAAGGGUUUCGGCUCGUAAAGCUCUGUUGUUAAAGAAGAACACGUAUGAGAGUAACUGUUCAUACGUUGACGGUAUUUAACCAGAAAGUCACGGCUAACUACGUGCCAGCAGCCGCGGUAAUACGUAGGUGGCAAGCGUUAUCCGGAUUUAUUGGGCGUAAAGAGAGUGCAGGCGGUUUUCUAAGUCUGAUGUGAAAGCCUUCGGCUUAACCGGAGAAGUGCAUCGGAAACUGGAUAACUUGAGUGCAGAAGAGGGUAGUGGAACUCCAUGUGUAGCGGUGGAAUGCGUAGAUAUAUGGAAGAACACCAGUGGCGAAGGCGGCUACCUGGUCUGCAACUGACGCUGAGACUCGAAAGCAUGGGUAGCGAACAGGAUUAGAUACCCUGGUAGUCCAUGCCGUAAACGAUGAGUGCUAGGUGUUGGAGGGUUUCCGCCCUUCAGUGCCGGAGCUAACGCAUUAAGCACUCCGCCUGGGGAGUACGACCGCAAGGUUGAAACUCAAAGGAAUUGACGGGGGCCCGCACAAGCGGUGGAGCAUGUGGUUUAAUUCGAAGCUACGCGAAGAACCUUACCAGGUCUUGACAUCUUGCGCCAACCCUAGAGAUAGGGCGUUUCCUUCGGGAACGCAAUGACAGGUGGUGCAUGGUCGUCGUCAGCUCGUGUCGUGAGAUGUUGGGUUAAGUCCCGCAACGAGCGCAACCCUUGUUACUAGUUGCCAGCAUUAAGUUGGGCACUCUAGUGAGACUGCCGGUGACAAACCGGAGGAAGGUGGGGACGACGUCAGAUCAUCAUGCCCCUUAUGACCUGGGCUACACACGUGCUACAAUGGACGGUACAACGAGUCGCGAACUCGCGAGGGCAAGCAAAUCUCUUAAAACCGUUCUCAGUUCGGACUGCAGGCUGCAACUCGCCUGCACGAAGUCGGAAUCGCUAGUAAUCGCGGAUCAGCAUGCCGCGGUGAAUACGUUCCCGGGCCUUGUACACACCG
This 1381-nucleotide ribosomal RNA is filed under the name Limosilactobacillus fermentum. RNAcentral's name for it is "bacterial SSU rRNA". It matches the Rfam family "Bacterial small subunit ribosomal RNA", at positions 54 to 1392 of the family's 1533-position model. The record is from RNAcentral. Lineage: Bacteria; Bacillati; Bacillota; Bacilli; Lactobacillales; Lactobacillaceae.